AAGAGAAAAUUCAUAAAAGAAAAUAGAAAAUCAAUGAAAUAAAAUUUGGAAAAAUAAAAAUCAAAUGAAGAAAAAUAAAAGAGAAUUUUAGAAAUUAUUUUGGGAUUUUUUGGAUAAAAAAUGAAAUUACUACCAAAUUUUAAAGAAAAAACAAUUUAAAAUAAUAAAAGAAAAAUAAUCAAAACCAUAAAAAAAAACCAUGAGCGUUGGAUCAUGC
Molecule: long non-coding RNA, 217 nt
Filed under: Lathyrus oleraceus (garden pea)
Lineage: Eukaryota; Viridiplantae; Streptophyta; Magnoliopsida; Fabales; Fabaceae
Description: Pisum sativum (pea) long non-coding RNA (PSAT_LNC036859)
Source: RNAcentral